GAUGAAGAACGUAGCGAAAUGCGAUAAGUAAUGUGAAUUGCAGAAUUCAGUGAAUCAUCGAAUCUUUGAACGCACAUUGCGCCCGCCAGCAUUCUGGCGGGCAUGCCUGUUCGAGCGUCAUUUCAGCCCUCGAGCCCCCCCGGGGGCCUCGGUGUUGGGGGACGGCACACCAGCCGCCCCCGAAAUGCAGUGGCGACCCCGCCGCAGCCUCCCCUGCGUAGUAGCACACACCUCGCACCGGAGCGCGGAGGCGGUCACGCCGUAAAACGCCCAACUUUCUUAGAGUUGACCUCGGAUCAGGUAGGAAUACCCGCUGAACUUAAGCAUAUCAAUAAGCGGAGGA
Molecule: unclassified non-coding RNA, 343 nt
Filed under: soil metagenome
Description: partial contains 5.8S ribosomal RNA, internal transcribed spacer 2, and large subunit ribosomal RNA
Rfam family: 5.8S ribosomal RNA (bases 1-120)
Source: RNAcentral